UACGUAGGGUGCAAGCGUUGUCCGGAAUUAUUGGGCGUAAAGAGCUCGUAGGCGGUUUGUCGCGUCUGCUGUGAAAACUGGAGGCUCAACCUCCAGCCUGCAGUGGGUACGGGCAGACUAGAGUGCGGUAGGGGAGAUUGGAAUUCCUGGUGUAGCGGUGGAAUGCGCAGAUAUCAGCAGGAACACCCGUGGCGAAGGCGGCCACCUGGGCCUAACCUGACGCUGAGGCGCGAAGGCUAGGGGAGCGAACGGG
RNAcentral lists this ribosomal RNA (253 nucleotides) under uncultured bacterium. RNAcentral's name for it is "partial 16S ribosomal RNA". It matches the Rfam family "Bacterial small subunit ribosomal RNA", at positions 524 to 776 of the family's 1533-position model. The record is from RNAcentral.